RNAcentral lists this ribosomal RNA (500 nucleotides) under uncultured Myrionecta. Its description in RNAcentral is "SSU rRNA". It matches the Rfam family "Eukaryotic small subunit ribosomal RNA", at positions 33 to 595 of the family's 1831-position model. The record is from RNAcentral. Lineage: Eukaryota; Ciliophora; Litostomatea; Cyclotrichida; Mesodiniidae.
GUGUCUCAAGGCUAAGCCAUGCACGUCUAAGUACAAACUAAAUGAUGGUGAAACUGCAAAUGGCUCAUUACAACGGUUAUGAUGUACCCGGGAGUUCCGAUGGAUAUUUCCAGUAACACUAGAACUAAUACAUGUCCCUGCGUUUAUUAGUUUCGCACAGUCCGUCGCUGAGUCAUGGUAAACAGUUGAUCGACUCGACGUCCCGGAACAGUUUCCGCCCCAUCAGCUUCGAUGGUUGGGUAUUGGCCUACCAUUGCAACAACGGGUAACGAGGAAUUAGGGUUUGAUUUCGGAGAGGGAGCCUGAGAAACGGCUACCACAUCUACGGAUGGCAGCAGGCGCGCAAAUUACCCAAUGCAGACACUGUGAGGUAGUGACGAGAAAUAAUAAAGCGGGACUUCUGUUUCGCUAUUAUAAUGAGGAAUAACCAAAGGUCAUUCCGAUUAGCAACUGAUGGGAAAGUCUGGUGCCAGCAGCCGCGGUAAUACCAGCGUCAGUAG